Molecule: ribosomal RNA, 377 nt
Filed under: uncultured Glomeromycotina
Lineage: Eukaryota; Fungi; Glomeromycota
Description: LSU rRNA
Source: RNAcentral
UUGAAAGGGAAACGAUUGAAGUCAGUCGUACCAGCGGGAGUCAACCUUUCGAGUGGGGUUUUGGAGUUUUUUGAAGAGUGUCAAAACCUUUGAGAUUUCAAAAUAUUCGCUCUUUUGGUGUACUUUCUCGUGGGUAGGUUAACAUCGAUUUUUNAUCAUCAUAAAAAGAUUGGAGGAAUGUAGCUUCGAUCUUGUAUUGAAGUGUUAUAGCCUUNGGUAAAUGUGAUGAUUAGGAUCGAGGAUUGCAACGAAUACCCUUUUGGGCUNUCCGCCUGAUCUCUGAUACGUGGCCUUGGUAUCGAAAGCGUGCUUAUGGUAUUGAGGUAUUACGGUCAAAAGGUUAGAACGGUUUACAUUUCGUUAAGGAUGUUGACGUA